Molecule: ribosomal RNA, 386 nt
Filed under: Cyclotella sp.
Lineage: Eukaryota; Bacillariophyta; Thalassiosirophyceae; Thalassiosirales; Thalassiosiraceae
Description: SSU rRNA
Rfam family: Eukaryotic small subunit ribosomal RNA
Source: RNAcentral
AGCUCCAAUAGCGUAUAUUAAAGUUGUUGCAGUUAAAAAGCUCGUAGUUGGAUUUCUGGCAGGAGCGUCCGGUCUCACACUCAGUGCGGGAACUUGGAUGUCUCUGGCCAUCUUUGGGGAUAUCCUGUUUGGCAUUAAGUUGUCGGGCAGGGGACACCCAUCGUUUACUGUGAAAAAAUUAGAGUGUUUAAAGCAGGCUUAUGCCGUUGAAUAUAUUAGCAUGGAAUAAUAAGAUAGGACGUAGGUACUAUUUUGUUGGUUUGCGCACCCACGUAAUGAUUAAUAGAGACAGGCGGGGCUAUUCGUAUUGCAUUGUCAGAGGUGAAAUUCUUGGAUUUCUGCAAGACGAACUACUGCGAAAGCAUUUAGCAAGGAUGUUUUCAUUA